AAACCACAAGCCGCCGUCACGUAUGUGCUUAUGUAUGUGAAAUCCGCCACACGCCUCAGAGCUGAACGUUUUGGGGUUAAAUGUUUUGGCUUCGAGAACCUGCCUUCAGAGGAGGGGCCUGAAGUUGGAGUCUGUCCUGUCCCCGCCCCCGGCUCGCCCAGCAGGGUCCCGGGCAGCUUCCCCGCGGAGGCUGCCCAUCCCCCUGGUCGCGAUUCGCCCUCAUCUGCCGGGACCGACUUGGAGGAGCCAAGUUGAUGAGGGGUUCGGCGCGUCUCUGGAAACGCGGGGCUGGGCGGGGCGAGAGCGUUCGGGUUUCCGCGUUCGGGUUUCGCGAGCUUAACUCCCUACCCACUUAUGGCUGGGUGGUGAAGUUUUAACUGAACUGAGUUUUCAUUACAAUCCUCAAGUUGCACUGUGUGAACUAGGCCCUGGCAAAACCUGAGAUUGGAAGCAAAGAGAAGUAAGGAAGAGUUUAGGUGGAGGUGGAAGUAGAAGUUAGAUUUUAAAAACCCUCUUGUACGGGGUAUAGGGAACCCUGUACUAUCUUGGUUAUAAUACUGUUAACCUAAAACUGUUCUAAAAUAAAAAGUUAAGAAAAAGUUUAAACAAAACAGGAGACAAAAACCCUGCCUCUUCAUCCCCGGCCAAAAUAGAUUUUAAAUGAUACUAAAUGUAUUCCAUAAAUCUCCCCCAUCCACCACAACCGCCAAUAGCCUUUCCAUUAUGAACCACAAGCUUUUUUACCUUUGAUAGAAAUUGACGUCAAGUAAAUACUGCCUGAUAGUCUGCCUACAGUUCUUGAAAUUAUUCCAUGUCAUUUCGACCAAACUAACUUGGGCGAGGGAUCCAGUCUUUCCUGACUAGAGAGGAUAAAUUUGCAUAGAUAUGCACACAUGUGUCAGUUGAAUGAAUACCUUGUGAAAAAAGCGAUACUUUGUCUUUUUGGUAGUCACUUCCUGAUUUAAAACCAUUCACAACUUUGCCCAAGUUAGUUUGCUGGCGUGUUAUUUUGGAGGCUCCUUAACCAUGAAAUUGUUUGCACCUUCUUUUCUCCUAUAUCACAACCGGAAUCUACUGUUUAAUCUCAAUUAUCCACUUAGAGGCUGUACUUAGAUUAGUUCUAUUACUAAACCAUUUCCCUUGGUUAGAAAGGCACUCCCUACCGCCCCGCCUCCGGAAAACCGGUAUUAGAUCUGCUUCGCACUAUCCAUUAAAAUGCUCGCUUUUUUAAUCUAUUCCUAAGUUUCCAUGAGCUUGACUAAUGUAAGUCUUCCUGACAAAUUAGGUUUCUGGGUCAGUAAGCUGUCUUAGUAUGUUUGGGCGGCAGACUGGGUGGCUUAUAAACAACAAACUUCUCACAGUUCAGGAGUCUGGGAAGUCCAAGAUCAAGGCUCCAGCAGGUUUGUUGUCUGCUCCCUGGCACAUAGUUGUGUAUUUUUAGUUGUGGGUACUUCUAGUUGUGGCAUGUGG
Molecule: RNA transcript, 1470 nt
Organism: Equus quagga
Lineage: Eukaryota; Metazoa; Chordata; Mammalia; Perissodactyla; Equidae
Gene name: forkhead box protein D1-like
Exons: 2
Source: RefSeq, a predicted model, not a curated record